This is a non-coding RNA of Kogia breviceps (pygmy sperm whale), 2207 nucleotides long. The record is from RefSeq and is a predicted model, not a curated record. NCBI's taxonomy places the organism in Eukaryota, Metazoa, Chordata, Mammalia, Artiodactyla, Physeteridae.
CGCAAUCCGCAGUACGAAGCCCAGGUGGGAGCCCUCCCCCCUGCUGCGCCGGUCCCGGCAAAGGCCUAGUGACCAGGUAAAUGGUAGGUGACUGGGCUUCCUGGACUUGGGGGGACCAGGUUGCAGUUUCCAAGGUCCGCACAUUCACAGUACUGCUGGUUGGGCAGGAAAGGCCCAGGAAAGGCCCUGGCUGGACCACCCAUCUCUCCUGGCCUCUAAACUUCCAGCCACUUCUCUCCCAGAUUGGCAAAUUGGAGAAGGGAUGCAACUAUAGAAAUUGGACUACCAGGAAUACCAGCCAAUAUCAAUGUAUUUUGACAUAGAAGGUGUCAUCCUGAGUAGAUGUUUCUGGAAGAGUACCAGCCAAUUCUAUCCUUAGCCUUGUCUUACUCUUUCUCAGUUUGAUUGAAAAAUCCUGAGUCAGAAUAUAACAUAUUACCAUUCCCAUGGGGGUUAAAACAUAAGUAAGAAAACCAUUUGACAGGAAAAAUAAAGGGUUUGAAAGUCUGGCAGGGGAGGGUAGGGUAGACUAUGAGUCCCCCCACCCCCCCAAUCCAGAAGUCUGUGGUUCUCUGAUAGUUGGGAUCACUUCUUAUGGUAACUGUGGCCUAAUAUCCAACAUAGGUAGGUGACUGCCUUAGAGUUUUUGGUCUUUGUUGACAGGAUGACAGCAAAUGAACUCUAAUUCCCAGUAACACACUCCUUGCUGCCCACCCAGAUUUUACCCUUUCACGUAUGUUUUCUCUCUUCAACCUGUUCUUAGAUUGUUCCUUCCACUCUACAGAGGUGCUGAAACAUGCCAGUAAGCAGUUUCUUAAUCUAGAAAACGAUUUCGGCAGCAAAGUUCAAAUUUUCUGACAAUACGGUAGAAGAAUGGUUCUCAACUGGGGAUGAGUUUGCUCCCUAGGGGACAUUUGGCAAAGUCUGGAGACAGUUUUGAUUGUCACAUCCUGGGGAGGGGGCAGGGGAGGGAAGCAUGAGGUGGAUGGAUGCGCUGCUGGCAUCUCGUGGGUAGAGGCCAAGGAUGCUACCCAGCUCCCUGCAGUGAGUGCAAACCACAACGAAGGCUUACCCAGCCCAGAACAUCGAGAGUGCUGAGACUGAAGAAACCUGGCCUGGAAUCUUUUUUAAAUAUAAAGGCAAAGGAAAACUAUUGAGAGAGUCUGAACUUUACAUACUGGAUCACGAUCCUUUUCAAAGGACACAUUCUGGUGGAUUCUCUUGCCAUUUCCUUCUGCCUUACCUGUUGCUUUACCCUGAUUCACUCUUGGUUUCUCAUAGCAUAUGUUAUAUAUAUAUUCUACUAUGCCUGUGAUAGUCUUUCCUUAACAUUUCUUCCCACUGGCCACUGCCAUAUAUUAUAAAACCCUUUCUUAUAGCUUAGAGGUUAAGCAAAUUAUCUUAGGUAAUUUGCUUAAUUUCUUACAAGUCUCAGUUUCCUCAUCUGUAAAAUGGGAAUAAUACUACUAUCUAAGAGGGUUGUUGUGUAUAAUAAGGGGAGCUUAGAAGGUGUCAGGCACAUAAUAGAUGCUCAUUAAAUAAUAGCCAUUAUUCCUUUUUGAAAAAAAAAUUGGAGCAGGAUUUGAAACUGUAUAUUCAUUAAAUAUUUACUAAGCAUUUUCUAUGGUUUGGUCCUAUGUUAGGUGCUUGGGAUACUUCAGAAAACAAAACACAAAACUUGAAAACCCUGCUGUCAUGGAACUUACACACAUAUACACACAAAAGCAAACAUGUAUGUACAUGUAAAAAAACAUGCGCACGCUACGAUGACAUAAACAUUCUGUGACUCUUCCCUUACUUAUUUCAGAACCUAAUUGAGAGUAAACAUUCUUCCUCCAAUUGGCCAAAAUCGCAUGGCGAAGAGCAAUUACAGAAUUCGAAAGAAACGCUUUUCUUUUGAAUACCGUUUCUUUCAGGUUUUAACCAAAAUAAACGUGUAUUUAAAAAAUAUAUGAAGUUGGCCUGUCUUGAGAAGAAAAUCACACAAAAUGGAAAUCAGUACAAAACCAAUGGGGAAGGAGGGAAUUGACUAUUUAGAUACUGUUUCAAUUGCUCCAAGAAUGAUUGAAGAAGAAAUGUAUCCACAGAAGAUUUACUUAUUGCUUUUGAAGGUGAAAAUAAACAAUUCAUAGACUGCAGACAGACCAAGUGAAUGACAGUGCAACACAGUUUCUAAAACACACAAAAAAGGGUAUAAAAUCUCAUCC